Molecule: ribosomal RNA, 408 nt
Filed under: uncultured bacterium
Lineage: Bacteria
Description: partial 16S ribosomal RNA
Rfam family: Bacterial small subunit ribosomal RNA
Source: RNAcentral
UGGGGAAUAUUGCACAAUGGGCGAAAGCCUGAUGCAGCGACGCCGCGUGAGGGAUGACGGCCUUCGGGUUGUAAACCUCUUUCAGCAGGGAAGAAGCCACAAGUGACGGUACCUGCAGAAGAAGCGCCGGCUAACUACGUGCCAGCAGCCGCGGUAAUACGUAGGGCGCAAGCGUUGUCCGGAAUUAUUGGGCGUAAAGAGCUCGUAGGCGGUUUGUCGCGUCGGCUGUGAAAGCCCGGGGCUUAACCCCGGGUGUGCAGUGGGUACGGGCAGACUAGAGUGCAGUAGGGGAGACUGGAAUUCCUGGUGUAGCGGUGGAAUGCGCAGAUAUCAGGAGGAACACCGAUGGCGAAGGCAGGUCUCUGGGCUGUUACUGACGCUGAGGAGCGAAAGCAUGGGGAGCGAACA